GACCGCUUUACUCUGAAUCACUCUCUCAAUCCCUCUCAUAUCUUAUUCUGGCAGGUCAGAAACUCUGGGUUCAGACCACACUGUUUCAGCAGUUUGCAGUUUGUGGUUGUAGCUUCAAUAUUUAUACCGUGGUGUACAAACCAUAUUGAGCUUGUUGGAACUAUGGGAAGUUUUUUAAGUUGCAACCGAAGAAAGAAGAAACCUAAAAACGCUGAUAAUGACCAUCAGAGAGAAACAGCAGACACAAAGACAGAAGAUGUCCUCUAUGCCUCCAUUGACCACGGUAACAUCAGUCCAAACAGACCUGUUCGAGACGUGGAUGACAACGAUUGUGAUUAUGCUGUUGUAAAUCUCCCUCAAAACACAACAGACUCGGCCAAGCACAAAAGCUAUGAGGACAGUACAGAUGAUUAUGUGCUUAUGGGUUGAGCACCGAGAUGCUUCUGUGGCUGAAAUCUGCACAUUCAGUUGGAAUGGACACCUGAGAUACACAAGCACAACUUUAACGGCUUGUUAACUUUGUAUAGGUUGCAAUGAUAUUCCACUUUUUAAAAUUGGUAUUUAUUUGUUUUUCUUUUCUUUUUUUAUAAUUAUUUCAUUUCAGGUCUGUUUUUGUCACUUUAUGUUUACAGCAUGAAGUAAAAUAUGUUUAAGACUUUUGAUAUUUUGAAGCAUUAUA
RNAcentral lists this long non-coding RNA (679 nucleotides) under Sinocyclocheilus anshuiensis. RNAcentral's name for it is "lncRNA (ENSSANG00000020913.1)". Lineage: Eukaryota; Metazoa; Chordata; Actinopteri; Cypriniformes; Cyprinidae. The record is from RNAcentral.